Molecule: long non-coding RNA, 127 nt
Organism: Sander lucioperca (pikeperch)
Lineage: Eukaryota; Metazoa; Chordata; Actinopteri; Perciformes; Percidae
Exons: 4
Source: RefSeq, a predicted model, not a curated record
CCAGGGCCCACCUGAAGGCGCACAUGAGAACUCACACAGGAGAAAAACCUUUCAGCUGCUCAGUUUGUAAUACAUCUUUUACACAGAGAGGACAUUUACAGUCACACAUGGCAGUCCACACAGGAGA